GAUGAACGCUAGCUACAGGCUUAACACAUGCAAGUCGAGGGGCAGCAUGUCGGUUGCUUGCAACCGAUGAUGGCGACCGGCGCACGGGUGAGUAACGCGUAUCCAACCUACCCUUGUCCAUCGGAUAACCCGUCGAAAGGCGGCCUAACAAGAUAUGCGGUUCUCAGCAGGCAUCUAACGAGAACGAAAUGUGAAGGAGAAGGAUGGGGAUGCGUCUGAUUAGCUUGUUGGUGGGGUAACGGCCCACCAAGGCAACGAUCAGUAGGGGUUCUGAGAGGAAGGUCCCCCACAUUGGAACUGAGACACGGUCCAAACUCCUACGGGAGGCAGCAGUGAGGAAUAUUGGUCAAUGGACGGGAGUCUGAACCAGCCAAGUAGCGUGCAGGAUGACGGCCCUAUGGGUUGUAAACUGCUUUUAUAGGGGGAUAAAGUGUGCCACGUGUGGCAUAUUGCAGGUACCCUAUGAAUAAGGACCGGCUAAUUCCGUGCCAGCAGCCGCGGUAAUACGGAAGGUCCGGGCGUUAUCCGGAUUUAUUGGGUUUAAAGGGAGCGUAGGCCGUCUUAUAAGCGUGUUGUGAAAUGUCGGGGCUCAACCUGGGCAUUGCAGCGCGAACUGUGAGACUUGAGUGCGCAGGAAGUAGGCGGAAUUCGUCGUGUAGCGGUGAAAUGCUUAGAUAUGACGAAGGACUCCGAUUGCGAAGGCAGCCUGCUGUAGCGCAACUGACGCUGAAGCUCGAAAGCGUGGGUAUCGAACAGG
Molecule: ribosomal RNA, 757 nt
Filed under: uncultured bacterium
Lineage: Bacteria
Description: bacterial SSU rRNA
Rfam family: Bacterial small subunit ribosomal RNA
Source: RNAcentral